Molecule: small RNA, 484 nt
Filed under: Drosophila pseudoobscura pseudoobscura
Lineage: Eukaryota; Metazoa; Arthropoda; Insecta; Diptera; Drosophilidae
Description: GA31933
Source: RNAcentral
UGUGCAGUGCGUUCGGUGUGCAGUGCGAUUCCGCCGAUGUGCAGUGAUAUAUAUUUUUUCUGAUUUUUUUUUUUUUUUGCUCUGAAAUAUAUUCCGUGCAGACGAUAGUGUGCCCAAGGAUAUGGCUAGCACGAUCGCAAUUUCUUUUGCGCCCUGGCCCCAGGACCCAGGACCCAGGACCCACGACCAGGACCAAGUCAAAGCUGACGCCUCGCCUCGUCUGAACUCUGGCCUCCCCCCCUGCCUGCUCCCAGGGCAGGGAUGCCACCCAUCCCGAUCCGACUCGAUGCUGUUGCAAUAUUAUGACUCCUGCUGUUUGUUCUGACAGCCGGCUGGGUGGAUGGGGGGAGGGGCCGGGGAAAAGCGGCAAAAGAAAUGUUUAUUGUGAAGCAUUUUCUAUGGCAAUUGCAACGAGCCUGCCCCCGGACCCGGACCCGGCCCCGACAGCUCGCUCCAGCCAUUCGCAUUAAAUGAGGAAACCAAU